This 2435-nucleotide long non-coding RNA is filed under the name Mus musculus (house mouse). RNAcentral's name for it is "RIKEN cDNA 2610307P16 gene". Lineage: Eukaryota; Metazoa; Chordata; Mammalia; Rodentia; Muridae. The record is from RNAcentral.
GGGAGAGAGGAGGAAGGGGUGAGAGGGAGAAACCUGCCGCGGCUCUCCGCCUCUUUGUCUGCUCUGGGACUUGGAACAAAAGGGGAAACUCUGAUGAACUCCUUCUCCAGCUCCCUGGACGCCCGAGUAUCUCUUUCUCGCAACUUUGUCAACGCGACUUUCUCCGCUGUCAGGCUGCGCAAAAGUAUCCUAGCGCCUCGCAGGCUGCAACAAUGGAAACAAUGUCCCUUCAAAGUGCGACGAAGUGGAGGGAGAAGGUGUCAUACCAGCGACUCCAAGAGUCAUGUCACCCACUUAGCAGGAGUACUUCUACUGAAAUGCCUUCGAAUUUCUCUUACUGGAUAUAUACCUACCAGCCGCUAGCAUGAAGAUGCCAGGACCGCUGCAAGUUAGCACUGGACAAAGUAGCAUCAACUUCUUCAUUUAGAGUUUCUUCAGUUAAAUUGCUGGGAUUUUCGACAAGGCUUUCCUUAUGUGGAUUAUUGGAGUGUGAUGCCCGAGAAUUCUCUACUUGUAGAAGCACGCCCACGGGACUGCAGAAGCCUUCACACCCACCCAGCACGCUCAGAUCAUCCAGUAACCAACCCAGGAAGUUCUUGUAAGCAUGCAUUUCUUAGUCAACACUGAAUGCCUUUAGACCGAGGUCAACCUUUUCAGCUGGUACCGUGGUUUACACUGCUGGGUUGAUGGCCUAACACUGGCUUAACACUCAUGUCGGCUGCACUAAUUGAAGUCACAUCCAAGUGGGUCAAUGCACUGAACAUAUCUGAUAUAGAAGGUCCCAGAUCCUGAAUUUUUAUCAAUGGUUUGCUGUAUAAGGCUUGCCUCCCAAAUAGCUGAGGACCCUUAUUUGGGAAGAUACGUUCUGAUGGUUAAGCAACAGCACAGAUGUCGAUGGGAAUGAGUGAUGGCCAUCCAGUGACCAGCUGGAUCUGACUGCCUUACAAGACGCAUGUGUAUGAUUAAGAGAGAGACAUUCGUGACUCCCAGAUGUACCUCCUUCCUGUCCCACAGUGUUCCUGAAGGGAGUGAGUUAUGGGGUAACUUAUAACACAGCAGGCUCUUCCUCAAGAUAGCUCUUGUCAAAACAGGAAGACGAAACUCGGGUUUCCAUGAGGAGACCACAGCUUGGGAUCCUGUCUGGAUGUACAAGCAGAAGCAUCUUCAUACUUUUCCAUUUCUAACCAUCAUGCCUCACCCCACCCUCCCAAGGCGACAUCUGCAGAGAGGUGGAACCAUCUAGGGAGGCCUGCCACUGUUUGCUGAGCUCCGGGUGAGGAUGAAGACACUUUGACAUGGCCAGCUUCAGACUCGGGAUCUGUCGGUGUUAGCAGCCGAAGGAGAAUGAGGAGGAAGAGGAGGAGAAAGAGGAGGAGGAAGUAAGACAGAGGGGGACAAGAGGACCAAGAGGGCACAUGGCUGAGGAGGAGGAGAACAACAACAACAACAACAACAACAACAACAACAAGAAGCUUGGUGGUGAAACUUGGAAGCCCUCUCCAGGAUGCAGCAGGUAGCUGAGGAGAAAACGAAGACUGACCAGCCCAGAGCUCAGAGCUUCCUCCCAUGCUCAGGAUUUACCACCAAUGCCAUUACAUCGGCCUCUUCUUGCCAUCAACCAUUGGCUGCCCUAAGCUCCCCGUGAAUUGAGUUAUUCCCAAUAAUGCUCUACAUUAUGAAGACAUUAUUCGAGUGGCUGUCCACUGUGAUCUGGUUAUUUGGAGCUUUACAUAAAGCAGGCUCCUGUUCUGCUGUCGUGCCCAAAGGUUUUGUGGCGGUUGAGUUUGUUUGGUUCUGCAAGAUCAUCCAGGCACCACAACUCUGAGGUUCUGUUCCUUCCAGGCUGCAUCGAUCUAAUGCUCAGACCUACACUGGAAGCAGAGCAUCUCUGACCUGUCAACCCCUGUUCCUGGUAGUGUCCACUGGUGAUGUUGCUCCUGACCCUGGUGGCUAGAGUUUGACCCAUUUGUCGGCUCAGCCCUCAUUCGCGACUCGGAGGAUGCUUUACACUUGAGCAUUUGUGCUACAACUAGAAUCUCAAGGGCACAAGGUUCAGACCACAGUGAAGAGAAGCACCAAUCUUGCCUCCUUGAUUGUUCACCUUUGCGUUUUGUUGGCUUCACCUUCCUUAUCUGUAAGAAAGAAAGGCGCUUGCUGAGCUUUCCUAGAAAGCACAGUUCUUUGUCCUGGACACUCCUGACAUCUUGCCAAUGUGGAGAAGGCUUAUUUACAUUACCUGUCAUCGUCUCAAGCCUUGUAGACCUGCUGCCAGGCUCCCUGCUGCUUCCACAGUCCCAGCUCGCGCUCACACCUUGACUUGCUUUUCCAAGUCACCAUCUCAGUGAUAUAAGUGAAAAUUUUCAACUCUUGUGUUCCACUAUUGUUUUGCUUUAAAACUCUAAAAGACAUCAUUAAAAUGGUGAUUUCUAGUGUAA